RNAcentral lists this ribosomal RNA (478 nucleotides) under bacterium 'H. scabra 54 (F-M)'. RNAcentral describes it as "bacterial SSU rRNA". It matches the Rfam family "Bacterial small subunit ribosomal RNA", at positions 352 to 822 of the family's 1533-position model. The record is from RNAcentral.
CAGUGGGGAAUAUUGCACAAUGGGCGCAAGCCUGAUGCAGCCAUGCCGCGUGUNUGAAGAAGGCCUUCGGGUUGUAAAGCACUUUCAGUCGUGAGGAAGGNNGUGUNGUUAAUAGCGGCAUUNUUUGACGUUAGCGACAGAAGAAGCACCGGCUAACUCCGUGCCAGCAGCCGCGGUAAUACGGAGGGUGCGAGCGUUAAUCGGAAUUACUGGGCGUAAAGCGCAUGCAGGUGGUUUGUUAAGUCAGAUGUGAAAGCCCGGGGCUCAACCUCGGAAUAGCAUUUGAAACUGGCAGACUAGAGUACUGUAGAGGGGGGUAGAAUUUCAGGUGUAGCGGUGAAAUGCGUAGAGAUCUGAAGGAAUACCGGUGGCGAAGGCGGCCCCCUGGACAGAUACUGACACUCAGAUGCGAAAGCGUGGGGAGCAAACAGGAUUAGAUACCCUGGUAGUCCACGCCGUAAACGAUGUCUACUUGGCC